ACACACGAAAAUUAAAACGACAUGAAAUACAAGUUUCGGUGCCUAUAAAUAAAGUCGCCUUGGAAAGAGGCCAGGCCCGCUCAUUUGCAUGUUAUCUGUGGCUGCUCUGGGGAAACAACAGCGAAGUUGAGUCCUCUUGUCAGCGGUUAUGUGGCCCACAGAAGUCUGAACUCUUGACUGGCCGGCCUGUUGGAGGAAAUGCUUGACCAUUCCUGCCACGGAGUUUAAGGGAAAGGACCUGUCUCCUCAGCCAACAGGCCUUUUCCCUGCCGAAGGAACAAGGGCAGGGGCGUGGCACUGCCUACAAACCAGGCUUCACAGUUACAAGCCUUCCAAUGGCUAUUCCUGGUUGUCAACUUGACUAUAUCUGGAAUGAACUACAAUCUAGAAUUGGAAGGCUCACCUAUGAUUCUAAUCUGGAGGCUCACAGAGAUAAGUUUCUGACUUGGAUCUUGGCGUGGAGAUCUUGAAGCAUAGUGGCUAUGAAUUCCAGAAGAUUAAGACAAGGAGAUCUCUGAGUUCAAGAUCAUCUGGGAUUAAAGGCAUGGAGGCACACGCCUUUAAUUUGGGCCACACUCUCUGCUGGAGACCUACAGCCUUUAAUCUGGGCUACACCCUCUGCUGGAGAUCUAUUUAAGGACAUUGGGAGAAGGAAGAUUUACUCACUCUUCCUUGCCUGCUUGCCUCGUGGGACUGAGCAACUGCUAGAUCCUUGGACUUCCAUCCACAGCUGCUGUUGACCGUUGUUGGGGAGUUGGACUAUAGACUGCUGAGAUACCUGCUCAUAGUGUGAUGCUGUGCAAACUCAAGGUGAUUCUUCUAUCAACAGUUGUCCUAGCUUGCUGUUAUCAUGGUGAAACUCUGACCAUAGCCAGCUUGGGAUGGAAAGGCAUUGUUUGGCUUACAGGUUACAGCCCAUCACUGAUGGAAGCCAGGGCAGGAAGUCAAGGCCAAGGACUUGAAAAAGAAACCAAUGGAUGAAUGCUACUUACUGCCCAGCUACCUUUUUUAUACACCCAGGAAUACCUGCCCAGGAGUAGUUCUGCUAACAGUGUUCUAGGCUUUUCUGUCAUCAAUAAUCAUUCAGGAAUCACCAUCAGGACCAAUCUGAUGGAGGCAUUUCCUCAAUUGAGGCUGAUCAGAGUUCAUCACAAGCAAACAACCAGAAGAGGAAGUUGACACCAUCUCCAUGGAUACUCAGGAAGCAGGGAGAACAAACUGGAAGUAGGGUGAGGCUACAAACUCUCCAAUCCACUGCCCUUGACAAACUUCCAUCAGGAAGGGUCUCUCCCCAAUUAGGGAUCAAAGAUUUAAAAACCUGAGCUUACGGGGGACAUAUCUCAUUCAAAUGACCACAUAACCCAAUUUUUUUGUUACCCCUGGAAGCAUGAAACAUCCUAAGAGUGCUUGUGCACUCUGAAAAGGCACGUGCUCAGACAACUGGCCUUAAGGCAUCAACUCAACCUUGUUUUUCCCAACAUUAUAAAAAUUUAUAUUACUGUCCAAUCAUUUUUUUCCUAUUGCGAUAUUGGCGCACACUUGGAGAAACUCGGCAAUCUGGUUUCCAUCAUGACCUCAGCCAGAGAACUCAAUAAACUUGACUCAGGCUCUCUGUUUACCUCAUUCACUGUCGUCCCCCUUCAUUGAAAUUCCACUUGGUUCAAUGAUCUCUAGGUUUUCCCCCUACUUUGCCUGCCGGUAUUGUCCAUCCAUCAAGGUCCAUGACCCUCCACUAGGGGCAGUUCAUUUCCACAGUCCCUUUUUUGGGAUUCACAGUUCAUAUUUGCAUAUAAAAAGGCAGUCACCAGCCUGACCAAAAAAUAGCUUCCAUUGUCUGCUCUUCAAAUGAGUCUAAAUAGAAUCUUAGCCAUUUGGAGCUGAAAGAGCCCUGUGAGAUCCCCUAGCCAUUCUUCUAACUUUAUAAAUAAGAGAACAGAACUAAGGGAUUCUGUGACUUGAUGGGAAAAAGAGCACAACUAGAUUUUCUGAGUCCAGUACAGAGGCCAGAGGAGGCGGUCAGUGUUUGGAGCAUCCUUCAGGCUCAAGGUAUGUAAGAUGGAACCACAGUAGAUAGUAAAUGUAUUGCCGUCUCGAGGAAUGAGAUCAGAGAUCCCUCCCACAGAUGCUGUCUUGGUGGGGAUGGACUACUCAGAAGUGAGAAAGAUUUUAAGGAAGUGGCAUCUGGAGAGACCUCUCCAUUCGCUGGGCAGGAGGCCUGGGAGGCCAAUCUAAUUCCCAUUCUUCCAUUAAACAGCUGCAAGCUCCUAACAGCCCUGUGCCCCAUCCGGCAAAUGACAGACAGAACAAUUGCCUUUAUAUCCCCUUAGAGCACACUUGGAGAUUCUGUGGUUUAAGUCUUUUCUUCAAAAGUAUUCUGUCUUCAUCUUUAGCAUCUCUUCUCUUUGGCAUUUAUUGUUUGAGACAACCUAUGUAGCCUCAAAUUCAAGAUCCUCCUGCCUCAGCUUUCUAAGUACUGGAAUCUGAGGUAUACAGCACCCACCUUGCUACCUUCCCUCUUAUUUUAAACACACAAAGUACCAGCCCCUACUCAGGAGCCCCUUGAUCCAUGAGCAUCCAGGUCUUGCAUGAGAGGGUGGGGGAUGUCUUCUUUGUCCUGAGUGUUAAGUCUCCUCGAGAUUCUUAAAUAUAAACAUUUUAAAGAACUAAUAAGCUAGAGAAGGCCUCAUGGUGUAACCUAGUAAUCUCUGCUACUUGAGAGGCUGAAGCAAGAGGACUGGAAAUUCAAGGCCUGCCUGAUCUCUGAAGCACAGUAAAAAACAGCUCAGGAGGAGACGCGCCUGGCUGAGGAUGUGCUCUUGAACUGCUUGCUUCUGGCCUCCGAGAACAGAAAUAUUCCUUUCGGCCUGGCCCAUAAAGGUCCAGAGUCAUACUGUCUUGACCUGAUGGUCUUUGGUGACGGCGCUUGUCUAGCACUGAUAGCAGAUUAUUUCAUUACUCAAAGCUCUGUUGCCCUGCCUGGGGAACACAGAGAGAUGGUUCAGCAGGUGAAGGCUACCCACCAAGCCUGAGUCCUGAGUUUGAUAUCGAGCAUCCACAUGACUAAAGAGGAGAACUGAUCCCCGUACCUUGUCCUCUAAGCUGCAUAUGUGUUCUGAGAAAUGGGUGUGCUCAGGCAGGUACUCACACACCUAAUGCUAAAUAAAUGGUAUUUUUAAACUUUAUUAACACGUUACUCUGUCAAAUAAUCCCUUUAACAGAUUAAAGGGAUGGAGGUAAAUUCGGGCUAUAGCAAGGCCCUUUGCAUCCCUGGGACGCGGUCCUGUCCCUCGCUCAGCUUGAAGAUAGAAACACGAGCCAGCAUGCGUGGGAUUAAUGAUAAACUGCUUCGUCAUCAAUGCUAAAUCCGUCGAUUCAGUUUUUGGUUUCCUGUCUGUACAAAGCCAUGUGUGGUAGCACAGGCCUGUUCCACCAGCUCUGGAAAGAAUGAGUGGGAAGAUAACUACAGUUCAAGACCAAUCUGAAUGCAUGACAGGAUCUUAUGAAACCCAGGCUGUACUCGGGCUCCCUACAUAGCUAAGGACGUCCUUGAACCUCUGAGUCGUCGUCUUCUCCUACCACAGCAGUGAGAGGAUGACGGGAGUGGCGAGGUUCUAUGCAAUGCUGAAGGAUUGAACCCAAGACCUUGUUCAUGUCAUGUCCCACUCGGUGUUGCAAAGCAGUUUCAUCACAGUGGGAGCCUCCAUCUAUGGCAUGAGGGACACGCAGAAGGAGGAAUCCACAGAGUUCCUACAAGAUAGGAAAGAAGGAAAACAUUCCUUCCCUGAGCCCCUGACAUCUAGGCCACGGCUGGGUGCAUAGGGAGACGGAUUCUGUCAUGCUUUCUCUUGUCUGUGAGCAAACUGAGGGUGUCAGGGUCUUUUCAGAGCUCACCCCAGAGGACAGGGCGGCAUGGAAAACUCAGAACAGAGGAGCAGGUCCUACCCCAUCAGAGAGAAGAAAGGUGACAGCACUGUGCCUGCAACCUGAAAACAAACGGAGCCGAGCUGCAAUAGGACCCACCCUGGUGACCAGAUGGCUCCUCUUCCGUCUGUACUUCCCCAGGUGGCUCUGUAAGCUCAGAAGUACCAGCAGGGAAAUACCUCAUGGCUGGCAAGUCACCGACCUGGCCCUGGCCAUCUGACUGUGUACAACAAGACUGUAAGAGCGUGUAUGUUUGUUUCUCUGGACAUCCAAAAAGCUCAGCUGGCCAUUUUCCUUUGCUUAAUUCCCUCCUUUGGCCACCAGGACAGCGAGAAAUCUGAAAACCUGUGGUCAGCACAAGACAAAACAGAAGGGAAAGAAGCCAAGGCAAGAUGUUUUCCCUCCCGGCAAGUCGCCUGGGGAGAGCGGCCUCUACUUUCACAUAUGCUGGAGGUGUGGUGUCCAAAGAAAACCUUUUGAACUGGUUUUCUGGAAUCUCCAAAAAGACCCUGCACAUCAAAGGGACCCUCGAUCCCUCCCUCACUGUGCGUAGCAGGCAUUGUUAAGCAUUUUUUUGCAUGAAUCAACCACCUUCUGAAAAGAAAGGAAACACAAAGCACAUGGCCAGGCCGUGGCCACAGCGGCAGCCCCAAGCACGUGCGGCACACAUGGCCUUGGCGGGCUCAGGAGAGUCAAAUGCCGCUGCAGCUCCAAGGACCUUUCUCUCCGGUCUGCCAGGCCAGGAUACAAUGGAGUCGAUUGUUGGAGAUAUCCCGUACCCCUCCUAUAGACCUACCUCUUAGGAGUCUGUGCAAACUCUGACUCCAGUCACGAGAGGAUUCCUGCUGGGCCACCUAAAAGAAAAAACAAAAAAAAAGUCAGGUUGAGAUGCAGUCUGGGCCGAACAGAGAGGCCUGUGUGAGCCAUUGGCACUGGGCCCGGAGAGCCACAGUCCUGAGCAUGCUACAGUGCUGCUGGCUUCUGCAGAGGAUUCCGGAUCCUGGAGAGAUGAAGAGGUGGAUUCCAUUCGUGGCUUCAGACUUUUGUCAUCUACCUUCAUGGAUUUGUCUGGUCCCCUAAAGGUGGCUACAGUGAUGCGCAGAAUAUACCUUACCCUGCUGAAGGCCACUGAUGUCCCCUUGGAGCCUAGAUACUGAGGAGAUUGUCUUUUCCUGGCCAAUAUGGAGGGAGGUAUCUCUGGGCCCUUACUGAAGAUCCACCCACUCUGCAGCUGUGAGGGUGGCAGGACGGAAUCAGAGGGCAGAGUAGGAGGGACCUGAGCCAUUUGUCCCUGUCUGGCUCUCACUAAUGACCUCCCCAAAGGAGGAAAGAAAAAAAAUGGCCCUGAGAUUUUCCUAGAGACAAAUGGAAGCAUUUUAAAGGGAGAUGCUUUUUUUUAAAAGAAGCCACCCUCUCUGAUAGCAAAGUUCUAGGUUCAGGAAAAAGGAAAGGGGGUUAAAACCUAUGACUACAACUCAAUCGGUAAGUUUUAAUUAGCAGUUCAAAACUGCCCACAUUCUGGCUUUCUAAUUAAUAGGCCCGAUUUCUGUUGAGUCCUACUUCAGCGGGAGCUAUAUAAAACCAGUGAGCGGGUGACAUCAUUCCAUUCAAAAAGAGAGAGAGAGAGAGAGAGAGAGAGAGAGAGAGAGAGAGAGAGAGAGAGAGAGAGAGAGAGAGAAGGAAAGAGAGGAAUGCUGAAUUAGGAACAGAAAACACAAAUGAUCCAUCUCUCUUCUGUAUCUGUAUAAAUAAGCUCGUUACCCACAUCUUCUCCUAGAGCUUGUCAAUCUAUGACCAAUCAACACCCGGAGCCAAUUUGAUACCAAAAGUCCCUGAACCAUAGGCCAAACAGUAUGGAUCCCAGUCAGAUACCCACAAAUACUGAGGGAUGAAGAAAAGAGGAUAUUGGGGGUAGAGACAUAGAGCCAUAAGCAUUGGCAAAGCCCUAAGUCACCUCCCGCGCCCCCCCCCCCGCCCCCGCACCCCCGAGGGAUACGCAGUUAUCUAUCUCUGUCCUUGAAAAUGAGGAGAAGGCCCCAAAGGGCUUCAAUCAAAAAGAGAUCAGGAAAAAAACAAAACAAAACAAAACAAAAAAAAAAAGCCAGACUUUUUUUUUCCACUUCUCUUGUGGAGAGAAAGCAUUUCUGGAAGCUUUAGAAACAGAGUGGAAGACACCAGAGUAACACGGUUGUGGUUUAGUGGGCACGGGACUGCAGAGCACACAGGAAGCAAGCUGUUCAUCCUGGAGACUCAGGAACCAACGAUGGAUGUAGAGGUGAAGAAAGAAGGCCUAGGAGCUGCUGGUUCCGAUGAUAACGUAAGCCUUAAAGAAGAAGUAUUCCAUGGAUUUGCAGUGUCAUGUGGAGCCACCCAGUGUGUGUCCUAAUGUCCAAGACCUCAGGCAGGGCCUGGAAAGGCAAGUUCUACUACACUGAGGUUUGCACGGGUCCCCCCACCCCGCGACCCUGCCAGAGUCUCAUGUGUACACGCAUGUGCACACUUACAUACCCAUACCCCCCAGCAACAUUAGGACCCUGAUCCCCUCUUAUCAGAACAUUUCCAUGUUUGAAAAAAACCUGAUGCUAACUCAGAAGACGCUGCAGAAAGCAGCUCAUGAGUAGAAGGUGGAGUAAGGCCAUGAUAAAGCAGAUUCCAGUGACGGCAUAUCAGCCCUGUGACUGGAACGUUUUAAACAGCAAAACUGCCUAACAAAAGCACACACACACACACACAAUAAAAGGACACGGCACUAAAUAGAUUACAAAAAGAAUUCCCAUUUUUGGGAAGAGAAUUAAGAGUGUCGCUUUGUUCCUCUUAAGCUGAGAACAUGCUUGUCCAGUAGCUCAAAUUGUCCUGAGCUCUGUGCAUGUCCACACACGAAUGUGAAGGCCCUGGCGGUGUUGAUCCACGGGCUAUAAAUAAAAGUUAAGAAACAGCAAACCCAUAAGUACAUAGUCUGUAAAUAUAGGUGUGGAUGUAGGCCGAGGUGCAAGUCUCUCCUGUAACACAGUAGCUUCUUUAAAGAAUCCAGAGCAAACUAAGUGUGAUGCUCCUGUCACUCCAGCCCUCCAGAGGUGGAGACAGGAGGAUCAGCAUUUCAAGGUCAUCCUUAGCUACAUAAUGAGUCUGAGGUCAGCCUGGGCUACAUAGCAGCUUGUUGAGGAAAGAAGAAGAAGAAAAGAGGAGGAGGAAGAAGAGGAAGAGGAGGAGGGAAGGAAAGAAAGAAAGGAAAAGAAUAAAAAAAUCCAAACCGAA
This is a long non-coding RNA of Apodemus sylvaticus (European woodmouse), 7176 nucleotides long. RefSeq lists it as uncharacterized. The transcript is spliced from 9 exons. The record is from RefSeq and is a predicted model, not a curated record. Lineage: Eukaryota; Metazoa; Chordata; Mammalia; Rodentia; Muridae.